AACGAACGCUGGCGGCAUGCCUAACACAUGCAAGUCGAACGAGACCUUCGGGUCUAGUGGCGCACGGGUGCGUAACGCGUGGGAACCUGCCCUUAGGUUCGGAAUAACUCCCCGAAAGGGGUGCUAAUACCGGAUAAUGUCUUCGGACCAAAGAUUUAUCGCCUUUGGAUGGGCCCGCGUUGGAUUAGCUAGUUGGUAGGGUAAAAGCCUACCAAGGCGACGAUCCAUAGCUGGUCUGAGAGGAUGAUCAGCCACACUGGGACUGAGACACGGCCCAGACUCCUCCGGGAGGCAGCAGGGGGGAAUAUUGGACAAGGGGCGAAAGCCUGAUCCAGCAAUGCGGGGGGAGUGAUGAAGGCCUUAGGGUUGUAAAGCUCUUUUACCCGGGAUGAUAAUGACAGUACCGGGAGAAUAAGCUCCGGCUAACUCC
Molecule: ribosomal RNA, 430 nt
Filed under: uncultured bacterium
Lineage: Bacteria
Description: partial 16S ribosomal RNA
Rfam family: Bacterial small subunit ribosomal RNA
Source: RNAcentral